UUGUUGGUAAGGUAAAAGCUUACCAAGGCUUCGAUCAGUAGCUGGUCUGAGAGGACGACCAGCCACACUGGGACUGAGACACGGCCCAGACUCCUACGGGAGGCAGCAGUGGGGAAUUUUGGACAAUGGGGGCAACCCUGAUCCAGCCAUGCCGCGUGAGUGAAGAAGGCCUUCGGGUUGUAAAGCUCUUUCAGCCGGAACGGAACGGUUACAGUUAAUACCCGUGACUACUGACGGUACCGGAAGAAGAAGCACCGGCUAACUACGUGCCAGCAGCCGCGGUAAUACGUAGGGUGCGAGCGUUAAUCGGAAUUACUGGGCGUAAAGCGUGCGCAGGUGGUUUUGUAAGUCAGAUGUGAAAGCCCCGGGCUCAACCUGGGAACUGCGUUUGAAACUACAAGACUAGAGUGUGGCAGAGGGGGGUGGAAUUCCGCGUGUAGCAGUGAAAUGCGUAGAGAUGUGGAGGAACACCGAUGGCGAAGGCAGCCCCCUGGGUCAACACUGACGCUCAGGCACGAAAGCAUGGGGAGCAAACAGGAUUAGAUACCCUGGUAGUCCAUGCCCUAAACGAUGUCAACUAGUUGUCGGGCCUUUACGGGCUUGGUAACGUAGCUAACGCGUGAAGUUGACCGCCUGGGGAGUACGAUCGCAAGAUUAAAACUCAAAUGAAUUGACGGGGACCCGCACAAGCGGUGGAUUAUGUGGAUUAAUUCGAUGCAACGCGAAAAACCUUACCUACCCUUGACAUGUAUCGAAGCCCGCAGAAAAGCGGGGGUGCCCGAAAGGGAACGAUAACACAGGUGCUGCAUGGCUGUCGUCAGCUCGUGUCGUGAGAUGUUGGGUUAAGUCCCGCAACGAGCGCAACCCUUGUCAUUAAUUGCCAUCAUUUAGUUGGGCACUUUAAUGAGACUGCCGG
This 916-nucleotide ribosomal RNA is filed under the name uncultured bacterium. RNAcentral's name for it is "bacterial SSU rRNA". It matches the Rfam family "Bacterial small subunit ribosomal RNA", at positions 246 to 1155 of the family's 1533-position model. The record is from RNAcentral.